CCUACGGGCGGCAGCAGUGGGGAAUAUUGGACAAUGGGGGGAACCCUGAUCCAGCCAUGCCGCGUGUGUGAAGAAGGCCCUCGGGUUGUAAAGCACUUUCAGUGAGGAAGAACGCCUGGUGGUUAAUACCUAUCAGGAAAGACAUCACUCACAGAAGAAGCACCGGCUAACUCCGUGCCAGCAGCCGCGGUAAUACGGAGGGUGCGAGCGUUAAUCGGAAUUACUGGGCGUAAAGCGCGCGUAGGUGGCUUGAUAAGCCGGUUGUGAAAGCCCCGGGCUCAACCUGGGAACGGCAUCCGGAACUGUCAAGCUAGAGUGCAGGAGAGGAAGGUAGAAUUCCCGGUGUAGCGGUGAAAUGCGUAGAGAUCGGGAGGAAUACCAGUGGCGAAGGCGGCCUUCUGGACUGACACUGACACUGAGGUGCGAAAGCGUGGGUAGCAAACAGGAUUAGAUACCCCAGUAGUC
RNAcentral lists this ribosomal RNA (465 nucleotides) under Vreelandella stevensii. RNAcentral's name for it is "partial 16S ribosomal RNA". It matches the Rfam family "Bacterial small subunit ribosomal RNA", at positions 338 to 795 of the family's 1533-position model. Lineage: Bacteria; Pseudomonadati; Pseudomonadota; Gammaproteobacteria; Oceanospirillales; Halomonadaceae. The record is from RNAcentral.